UACAGAGGUCUCAAGCGUUGGUCGGAUUCAUUGGGCGUAAAGGGUGUGUAGGUGGCGCGCUAAGUCGGGUGUGAAAUUUCGGAGCUUAACUCCGAAACUGCAUUCGAUACUGGCGUGCUUGAGGACUGGAGAGGAGACUGGAAUUCAUGGUGUAGCAGUGAAAUGCGUAGAGAUCAUGAGGAAGACCAGUGGCGAAGGCGGGUCUCUGGACAGUUCCUGACACUGAGACACGAAGGCCAGGGGAGCAAACGGG
RNAcentral lists this ribosomal RNA (253 nucleotides) under uncultured bacterium. Its description in RNAcentral is "partial 16S ribosomal RNA". It matches the Rfam family "Bacterial small subunit ribosomal RNA", at positions 524 to 776 of the family's 1533-position model. The record is from RNAcentral.